GGUAUGUCUCUUGUCUUAUCCGCCACACACGACACGACACGCGCCGGCCACAGAAACAGCGCUUCACUCCCCUCCGCGCCGCGGCGACCAUGGAGCUCGCCACCGUCGCCGCUGCAGUCGCCUCCGCCGCUGCGCGCCCGCACGGGCCUUUCUCCUCUCCCCGCGCAGUCUCUGCCUCCGUCUCGUGGACCAGUCUCUCGCUCGCCUACACCUCCCGCUGUCUCUCCUCCACGUCCUCGCGACGGCGGCUGCGCUGGCUCCCCGUCACCUCGGCCGCCGUGGAGCUCCGCGAGGCCACUGCCGGGGGCGGAGACUCGCUCCGUGUCACCAAGACGCCGCAGCCUGGAUCCAGUGUUAAGUUCAGCGUGGAGGUGCCUACUUCCAUCAUUCACGAGUGCUACCAAUCCACGCUACAGGAGUACGCCAAACGUGUUAAGGUUCCUGGAUUUCGGCCUGGGAAGACCAUUCCAGAAAACGUUCUUAUAAACUAUGUAGGACCGCAACAUGUACAGGAUGCCACGAUUGAAGCUAUCUUAAAACAUACGCUUCCUCAAGCACUGUCCUCGGUAGAGGAGAGGGCAUUAGAAGAUUCUGUUCGCAUUCUGACUCAAUUUGAUGAUAUGAGAAAUUCUUUCUCACUCGACAAUGUGUUUAGAUAUGAUGUUGCUGUGGAUGUUGCCCCUGAAGUCCGAUGGUUAUCUGAAGACAAAUAUAGGAACCUCAAAGUUGUCGUUGAAAUAGAUGAAGCUGUUGAUGCGGAAAAGGCGGCAGAGAAAGAGCUUCAGCGUCGUCAUAAAGCUCUAGGCUUACUUAGAAUUGUGGCUGACAGAGGCCUCCAGAUUGGUGAUCUGGUGGUGCUGGAUAUAUUUGCGGAAAGCAUUAACAAUGAUGGCUCUAGAGGUGAAAAAAUUUCAUCGGCUGAGAGUACAGGUUUCCACUUGGACACUGAGGAAAAUAGUAACCUUGUUCCUGGAUUUCUUGGUUCGUUGAUUGGGAUUCGUGCUGGUGAGACUAGAUCAUUUCCUAUCCAGUUCCCCGAGUCAUUUGAGCGAGAAAGUCUACGAGGUGUCCGUGCACAGUUUACUGUUGUGUGUAAAGAGCUGUUCUACAGAGAGUUGCCAGUAAUGGAUGACUCACUUGCUGUAAAGCUUCUUCCAGGAUGCACUACAAUAGACGAGGUUCGAGAGCGUAUUUUGAAAAGAUGUAAAGAAGUGGAGAAGACGGCCAUAGAACAAGCAACAGACAACGCGAUCCUUGACCAGCUCGGGAAGUUGGUCGAGGUCGACGUCCCUCGUGCCUUGUUUCAAGAGCAAGGGCAGCAGCUUUAUGGAGCCAAGCUUCUGCAGCUUCAGGCGGAAAGGAAGCUGGAUAAAGACCAGCUAGCUUCGUUAUCAACCAAGAGGUCAGUGCAGGCGUACCUAGAAGAUGAGAAGGAGAACAUUACAAGAAUCAUUAAACAGAUGCUGGCCGUUGGCGAUAUUUUCAAAUCCGAGAACUUACAGUACUCGACUGAUCAGCUCGUCAAGGAAGUUGAGAACUCCAUAGCGGAGUUCAAACAGUACAACCAAGACUAUGAUGAGGACAACAUCAGGCAGCAGGUCCAGGAUGUCCUAGAGGCGGCGAAGGUGCUUGAAUGGCUCAAGGAGAACUGCUCGGUCGAGUAUAUCAGGCGAUGAGUCCCACGAUGCUGGGUCAAGGAAAGCUCCUCUGAACGUGAGAAAGAUGGUGGCUGGUGUGGCGGUCGGCAGUUUUGCGAGUGGCCUUGGUCCUUGCCAAUGCCAACCAGCCUAGAGCAGUGCAGUGAUUAAGAGGUUUACAGAAGAGAGAAAUUCUGGCAGAUCCAAUUGCUGUUGCCGUCAUUCUGAUACAACCUGACUUGAUGACUCUCAAUGAAGCUGAAUGCUGAAAGGUGUUGCUGCCUUGCAGAAUGAAGCUUUGAGUUCAAUACAUGGAAUUCAUAUUUGGUGGUGGUGUUUUGGAACUUGUUUAUCUGCUAGGUGUUGCUGCCUUGCAGAAUGAAGCCGUCCACAUUGUCCUUGUUUAUCUGCAAGAUGCAUGCCUGCUCUAUUUCUUGCUCUUCAGUCUUGACUGAUGCCUACUGCCUGAGUGCAGAUUCAGUGUGAUAGUUAGAUUCUGCUGAUGUGUUAACAUGUUCAUUGUAAACAAAUUUCUUGUUAAACAUGUGUGAUCUCUUCAAGACCAUGUGUCUUUGACCUAAUAUAUUGCGAAACAUUCUUCA
Zea mays is the source of this 2239-nucleotide RNA transcript. It is a transcript of the gene named trigger factor-like protein TIG, Chloroplastic, with no coding region annotated. The record is from RefSeq and is a predicted model, not a curated record. The transcript has 14 exons. Lineage: Eukaryota; Viridiplantae; Streptophyta; Magnoliopsida; Poales; Poaceae.